CUUCGUUCAAAUGGCUACGAAGAGGCAUAUUCAGUUUUUAAAAAGGAAGCUGAAUUAGAUAUGAAUGAAGAAAUAAAGUAGGCUGGUGUUUUGGGGGAAAAAAUGGACAUCUGUUAUUAGAUUACAAAAGAAGUUUAUGGAAUUAGAAUCAACACUAAAUGAAGCAAAAGAAGAAUUUACGUCAGGUGGACCUCUUGGUCAGAAACAAGACCCAAAAGAAUGGGUAUUUUCUGCCAGAAAAAUACACAUUGAGUGGUCACAGGAGUCCAAUCAUUCGAGUCAUUUUCCAUCCUGUGUUCAGUGUUAUGGUCUCUGCUUCAGAGGAUGCUACAAUUAAGGUGUGGGAUUAUGAGACUGGAGAUUUUGAAAGAACUCUUAAAGGAAGGACACACAGACUCUGUACAGGACAUUUCAUUUGACCACAGUGGCAAGUUUCUGGCUUCCUGUUCUGCAGCUAU
This 458-nucleotide long non-coding RNA is filed under the name Homo sapiens (human). RNAcentral describes it as "novel transcript". The record is from RNAcentral. Lineage: Eukaryota; Metazoa; Chordata; Mammalia; Primates; Hominidae.